UAUUAAAGUUGUUGCAGUUAAAAAGCUCGUAGUCGGAUUUUGGCAUCACGCCGAACUGUCAGCCGAUUGGUUUGUACGGUUUGGCGGGUGCUCUCCUUCCGGAAGCUCGUUCCCUUCUUAGUUGACGGGUUCGAUGGUUCCGGGUCUUUUACUUUGAAAAAAUUAGAGUGCUCAAAGCAGGCCUAUGCUCUGAAUAGGUUAGCAUGGAAUAAUAGAAUAGGACUUUGGUUCUAUUUUGUUGGUUUCUAGGACCGAAGUAAUGAUUAAUAGGGACAGUUGGGGGCAUUCAUAUUCCAAUGUCAGAGGUGAAAUUCUUGGAUUAUCGGAAGAUGAACUUCUGCGAAAGCAUCUGCCAAGGAUGUUUUCAUUGAUCAAGAACGAAAGUUAGGGGAUCGAAGACGAUCAGAUACCGUCGUAGUCUUAACCAUAAACUAUGCCGACUAGGGAUGUGAAGGCGUUAUUUUAUACGACCCUUCAUGCACCUUAUGAGAAAUCAAAGUCUAUGGGUUCCGGGGGGAGUAUGGUCGCAAGGCUGAAACUUAAAGGA
RNAcentral lists this ribosomal RNA (547 nucleotides) under uncultured eukaryote. RNAcentral describes it as "SSU rRNA". It matches the Rfam family "Eukaryotic small subunit ribosomal RNA", at positions 602 to 1151 of the family's 1831-position model. The record is from RNAcentral.